Lolium rigidum is the source of this 414-nucleotide long non-coding RNA. RefSeq lists it as uncharacterized. The record is from RefSeq and is a predicted model, not a curated record. The transcript has 3 exons. Lineage: Eukaryota; Viridiplantae; Streptophyta; Magnoliopsida; Poales; Poaceae.
ACAUUCCUUCUUAAACCAUUUAAACUAAAGAAUUUAUUUGUUUUCCGUGGCACUUGCCGGCUCCAGCAAUCGAUGCGGAGGUCAUAAUCACUUUGUGGAAGUACCGUAACUCCAUGAAGACCGUGGUUCCCCGAGGUAGAGCGGCCGUAGGUGCGGCGCACCGGGGACUCGAGUUAUGCGACACAGGGUGAAGGCCAUCGGAACCUUGAUCCAGGGUGGCGCGGUGAUAUACCACUGGUGCCCCGAGCCAAGAUGAAGCGGUGUGCAUGCGGACGGUCCCCGAGCUAGGCACUCGGCAAGCGGUGCCUCAAUCCUUGGUUCUAGGAGGCUUAACAAAUAUGUUGGAUAUCAACCAAGGACCAUGGGACAGACUUGCGAUUAGCUCCGUAGCGAAGCACGGGUUUUGUCCUAGUA